GAUGAACGCUGGCGGCGUGCCUAAUACAUGCAAGUCGAGCGAACGGACGAGAAGCUUGCUUCUCUGAUGUUAGCGGCGGACGGGUGAGUAACACGUGGAUAACCUACCUAUAAGACUGGGAUAACUUCGGGAAACCGGAGCUAAUACCGGAUAAUAUUUUGAACCGCAUGGUUCAAAAGUGAAAGACGGUCUUGCUGUCACUUAUAGAUGGAUCCGCGCUGCAUUAGCUAGUUGGUAAGGUAACGGCUUACCAAGGCAACGAUGCAUAGCCGACCUGAGAGGGUGAUAGGCCACACGGGAACUGAGACACGGUCAAGACUCCUAAGGGAGGCAGCAGAAGGGAAUCUGCCGCAAUGGGCGAAAGCCUGACGGAGCAACGCCGCGUGAGUGAUGAAGGUCUUCGGAUCGUAAAACUCUGUUAUUAGGGAAGAACAUAUGUGUAAGUAACUGUGCACAGCUUGACGGUACCUAAUCAGAAAGCCACGGCUAACUACGUG
Molecule: ribosomal RNA, 497 nt
Filed under: uncultured bacterium
Lineage: Bacteria
Description: partial 16S ribosomal RNA
Rfam family: Bacterial small subunit ribosomal RNA
Source: RNAcentral